GGCGAAGGAUGGAUUGGUGGCGAGAGAGAAAGAUCAAAGGAGAAUGUGGAGACGAGCUGCUUCUUCGUACUUCUUGAUUUCUUCCAGUUGCCGACGCUUAUCUUCCGAAGCCGAAGCUCAAGCCCCAUCCCUUUACUCUUUCCUCCAACCCUCACUCUUCGCCUUGAACCGGAAGCCACACCCGCCCAAGCAAGAAGAAGAAGCCCCCCAAACCCUGACGCUAAAUCAGCACGCCGCCUUGGAAACCGCUCUCCAAAAAUCCCUCUCCGCCGGCAACACCGACGAGGCCUGGAAAUCUUUCAAGGCUCUUCUCUCCAACGCCUCUUCUUCCCCGAGUAAGCCUCUCGCCAAUUCUAUCAUCACCCAUCUCUCCUCUCUCGCUGACGCCCAUAAUCUCAAAAGGGCUUUUGUUUCUGUCGUCUUUUUGUUGGACAAGAAUCCCAAUUUGCUCGACUGUAAAACCCUAGAAGCCCUUUUCGAUUCCAUGAGAGUUGCCAGUGCUGCCGCCCCUGCCUUUGCGUUGCUUAAAUGCAUGUUCAAGAAUAGGGUUUUUGUUCCUUUCGGUCUCUGGGGCGAUGUUCUCGUUGAAAUUACUAGGAAAAAUGGCAGCUUUUUGGCUUUUCUCCGUGUUUUUGGCGAGAAUUGUAGGAUUGCUUUGGAUGAGAACCUGCAUCAUAUGAAACCCAGUUUGGCUGCGUGUAAUGCGGCCUUGGAGGCUGCUUGUUGUGAGCUUGAAUCUGUUACUGAUGCCGAGAGUGUUAUGAAGAUGAUGUCUGCUUUGGAUGUGAGGCCGGAUGAACUGAGUUUUGGGUUUCUUGCAUAUUUGUAUGCGUUGAAGGGGCUUAAAGAAAAGAUAGUUGAGUUGGAAAGUUUGAUGAGUGGAUUCGGUUUCCUCAACAAGAGAAUAUUUCUUAGUAAUUUGAUUAGUGGGUAUGUCAAGUAUGGUAGUUUAGAGUCUGCUUCCAUGACUAUUUUGGGUAAUCUGAGAGGAGAUGGAGAGGAUUCAAAUUUCAAUGAAGAGACUUUUCUUGGAGUGGUGAAAGGUUUUCUUCAGAAAGGAAGUAUCAAGGAUUUAGCCAAGUUAAUUAUUGAUGCUCAAAAGCUGGAACCUCCAUCAAUCGUAGUUGAGCAAUCAGUUGGUUAUGGCGUCAUUGGUGCCUGUGUUACACUUGGCUUCCUAGAUAAGGCGCACAACAUCCUCGAUGAAAUCAAUGCCAGGGGAUGUUCGAUUGGGCUUGGUGUUUAUUUGCCAAUCUUGAAAGCUUACUGCAAGGAGCAAAGGACGGCUGAAGCAACUCAAUUGGUUAUGGAGAUUAGUGAUUCAGGACUGCAGUUGGAUGUUGGUACAUAUGAUGCGCUGAUAGAAGCAUCCAUGUCUAGCCAAGAUUUUCAAUCAGCUUUCUCUUUGUUCAGGGACAUGAGGGAAGCAAGAAUACCUAACUUGAAGGGAAGUUACUUGACCAUAAUGACAUGUUUGACAGAGAAUCACCGGCCUGAGUUAAUGGCAGCAUUCUUAGAUGAGGUUGUUGAGGAUCCUCGGGUCAAAGUGGGUACGCAUGACUGGAAUUCAAUCAUUCACGCCUUCUGUAAAGCUGGACGGUUGGAAGAUGCUAGGAGGACUUUUAGAAGAAUGAUAUUUCUCCAGUUUGAACCUAAUGAGCAGACAUACCUGUCCCUCAUCAAUGGGUAUGCAACUGCAGGGAAAUACUUCAGUGUUUUGAUGCUGUGGAAUGAGGUUAAGAGAAGGGUUUCCAUUGAUGGAGAGAAACAGUUCAAAUUAGACCACAAUUUGGUAGAUGCUUUCCUUUAUGCUCUAGUUAAGGGAGGCUUCUUUGAUGCUGUAAUGCAAGUUGUGGAGAAAUCUCAGGAGAUGAAGAUCUUCGUUGACAAGUGGAGGUACAAGCAAGCUUUCAUGGAGAACCAUAAGAAACUCAGAGUAUCAAAGUUGAGAAAGAGAAACUCAAGGAAAAUGGAAGCACUUGUUGCUUUCAAGAAUUGGGCCGGUCUGAGUGCAUGAUCAUACAGCACAUCUUCACUGUGCUUACUUUGUUUACUGGAGGUUCUUUUUUGGUGCAGAGAUUAUUGAUAUCUCAUUGACAGCUAAAAAAGGAGGUUGAGAAAGAAAAAAUUGGAUAUAUGAAUGGCAUAUUGCUUUUGCAUAUUUAUUCCUGCUAAGGCAUCAAAUUCAUAAACACCUAAUGUUUCCAUAUUUGGCCACGGCUUGGACUGGAUGGAAUUUCAAAUGAAACUUCUCUCAGCAUCUAAUCACAAAAAUGAGCUGCUCCGAGGCUUCAAAGAACCCAAGUUCUUGGCUAGUCAGGAUGCAAGUACUUCAUGAAUGUAGACCUGAUGAAGUGUAAGAAUAUAUGUUGAAAAAUUGGGGACAAAUGUCAAUGCAUAACCAUAAUGAAAGAUUCUCCUCACUUGAUUUUGUGCUGGCAAGGAGCAUUCAGCAUGUAUUUGGCUUGGUAGCCAUGGGUUCGAGUUCUAAAAAAUCUCCUUGCAAAACAAGGGUUCUACAUACAAAAAUGACUCUCCUGACCCUCGCAAAAUGGGGAGCGCUGUGCAUUGAGGACACCAUUUAUAGAAUUUUCAACAUCUAUUAAGAUUUGUGAUGGUUAUGAUAAAGAAUUUGCAAUAGCAUACAACAUUUACAACAAGAAGCAUAAGCAAUUGUUCCUUCUCUUGGUUGGGAUGUAGUGAAAGAGAGGCAUGAUACCUGCUUUUCCCACUCUUUGGAUGGUGCUUUGAACAUUAUCAGAUGUAGUGGAGACUGGAGAUAUCACUGGAGGGCAUCUAUGAGCUUGCCAGGGUGAUAGCUGCCAAUUGGUCACCUGAAAGAGUUGCCCUUGGCCUGAUGAAGCAAAGAUAGGUGCAGCUAUGGUGCUCUUGAAAGCUGCUAAAUUUUAGCUUCUGCUUGUUGAGUGUUCAUUAUUUGCAAUGGAUCAAUCAUUUCAUUCUAUGCUACAGUGUUGUUCUCUCAUCAUCACCGGAUCUCCAAGAAUGUCCCAGAUGCUGCUCUUUCAGUUGAGCGUGUGGGCCAUUCUCAUGCUUUCUUGCACUAGAGCUGGCUCACCAUGGGUUGCUCAGCAUGAUCAAAAACCAGAAAACAAAUGCAGCCCAGUAAGACCAAACUUCAUGCUCACCAUCUCUCAGAUUACAGAUUUUAGUUAUUUAUUUAAGAGUUCGGUUGGAACGACUCUCUCUCCACUCCCACAAAGCAAUAAAGCCUUGUACAUUGAUUUGAGAGACGCCCAUUCAGUUAAAGUUUCGUUGGUCCUGUAUAAAUGUAAUAAACUUAGGAAAUGUUAUUUUAACAGUUAAUUCAGGUGUUUAAUUAGAGUUUAAGUAGUAUUUUUAAAUAA
Molecule: RNA transcript, 3365 nt
Organism: Diospyros lotus (date-plum)
Lineage: Eukaryota; Viridiplantae; Streptophyta; Magnoliopsida; Ericales; Ebenaceae
Gene name: pentatricopeptide repeat-containing protein At1g69290
Exons: 2
Source: RefSeq, a predicted model, not a curated record